This 624-nucleotide ribosomal RNA is filed under the name Enterobacter cloacae. RNAcentral's name for it is "bacterial LSU rRNA". It matches the Rfam family "Bacterial large subunit ribosomal RNA", at positions 590 to 1215 of the family's 2925-position model. Lineage: Bacteria; Pseudomonadati; Pseudomonadota; Gammaproteobacteria; Enterobacterales; Enterobacteriaceae. The record is from RNAcentral.
GGUGUGACUGCGUACCUUUUGUAUAAUGGGUCAGCGACUUAUAUUCUGUAGCAAGGUUAACCGUAUAGGGGAGCCGAAGGGAAACCGAGUCUUAACUGGGCGUUAAGUUGCAGGGUAUAGACCCGAAACCCGGUGAUCUAGCCAUGGGCAGGUUGAAGGUUGGGUAACACUAACUGGAGGACCGAACCGACUAAUGUUGAAAAAUUAGCGGAUGACUUGUGGCUGGGGGUGAAAGGCCAAUCAAACCGGGAGAUAGCUGGUUCUCCCCGAAAGCUAUUUAGGUAGCGCCUCGUGAACUCAUCUUCGGGGGUAGAGCACUGUUUCGGCUAGGGGGCCAUCCCGGCUUACCAACCCGAUGCAAACUACGAAUACCGAAGAAUGUUAUCACGGGAGACACACGGCGGGUGCUAACGUCCGUCGUGAAGAGGGAAACAACCCAGACCGCCAGCUAAGGUCCCAAAGUCAUGGUUAAGUGGGAAACGAUGUGGGAAGGCACAGACAGCCAGGAUGUUGGCUUAGAAGCAGCCAUCAUUUAAAGAAAGCGUAAUAGCUCACUGGUCGAGUCGGCCUGCGCGGAAGAUGUAACGGGGCUAAACCAUGCACCGAAGCUGCGGCAGCGACACU